Electrophorus electricus (electric eel) is the source of this 311-nucleotide long non-coding RNA. RefSeq lists it as uncharacterized. NCBI's taxonomy places the organism in Eukaryota, Metazoa, Chordata, Actinopteri, Gymnotiformes, Gymnotidae. The record is from RefSeq and is a predicted model, not a curated record.
GGGCCAAUGAGUUCCGAAGCUACAGAGACGGAAAAUCCAAAGGAAAAGACACAGCGGGCUCGAUAAGGAGUCUCUCCAGCGACGCGACGGGCUCAAUGAUGAAGGAACGGGAGCACGCAGCAGCGCAGCGAGGUGUUCGGGUUUUUUUUGUUUGUUUGUUUUGUUUUGUUUUUUUCAGUUUUCUUGGAAUUGUCCUGAUCAGCACGAAGUUUCCGGAUUAAACUGUCGCAAGGUGAGUUGUUGCUUAGCACUUAAAUAUGUAUGUUCUCAUAAAAUGUGACCAUGUGACUAUGUAAUGCAUGUGUAAAUAC